AUGUGUUUGAGGCUCUCUAGGGUUCACACUGUGACUUUUCAUCUUCUACACACAAAAUAUGAUUUCUCCUAUCUCUUCUUUGAUUUCAACGGUGCCAAGCCACCUUCUGGAGAACCCUGCCGCUGCGGCCAUUAUCCAUUCCAUUUCUUCUACCUUGUUUUCGCUAUUCAGCUCCUCAAACUUCAUUUAUUUUUAACAAGCUCAAACUUAUCUCUCUAA
Vicia faba (fava bean) is the source of this 219-nucleotide non-coding RNA. The record is from the annotation of a GenBank genome assembly. NCBI's taxonomy places the organism in Eukaryota, Viridiplantae, Streptophyta, Magnoliopsida, Fabales, Fabaceae.